This 240-nucleotide ribosomal RNA is filed under the name uncultured bacterium. RNAcentral's name for it is "partial 16S ribosomal RNA". It matches the Rfam family "Bacterial small subunit ribosomal RNA", at positions 118 to 352 of the family's 1533-position model. The record is from RNAcentral.
UGAGGAACAUGACUUUCGGCGGGGGAUAGCCGGCCCAACGGCCGGGUAAUACCGCGUACGACCUUUUGGGGACAUCCCUGAUUGGUGAAAGCAGCAAUGCGCCGAAAGAGUGCCUCGCGGCCUAUCAGCUAGGUUGGGGGGGUAAUGGCUCACCAAGGCGACGGACGGGUAGCUGGUCUGAGAGGAUGGCCAGCCACAGUUGGGACUGAGACACGGCCCAGACCUCCGUACGGGAGCAGC